UACGGAGGGUGCAAGCGUUGCUCGGAAUCACUGGGCGUAAAGCGACCGCAGGCGGUCGGACAAGUCGGAUGUGAAAGCCCUGGGCUCAACUCAGGAAUUGCAUUCGAAACUGGCCGACUUGAGUACGAGAGAGGGGGGUGGAAUUCCUGGUGUAGGGGUGAAGUUCGUUGAUAUCAGGAGGAACACCGGCGGCGAAGGCGGCCCCCUGGCUCGCAACUGACGCUCAUGGUCGAAAGCGUGGGGAGCAAACAGG
RNAcentral lists this ribosomal RNA (253 nucleotides) under uncultured bacterium. Its description in RNAcentral is "partial 16S ribosomal RNA". It matches the Rfam family "Bacterial small subunit ribosomal RNA", at positions 524 to 776 of the family's 1533-position model. The record is from RNAcentral.